CCUACGGGUGGCUGCAGUGGGGAAUUUUGGACAAUGGGGGCAACCCUGAUCCAGCCAUGCCGCGUGAGUGAAGAAGGCCUUCGGGUUGUAAAGCUCUUUCGGUGGGAACGCGGUACUCACAGAAGAAGCACCGGCUAACUACGUGCCAGCAGCCGCGGUAAUACGUAGGGUGCGAGCGUUAAUCGGAAUUACUGGGCGUAAAGCGUGCGCAGGCGGCGCGUUAAGACAGGUGUGAAAGCCCCGAGCUUAACUUGGGAAUUGCGCUUGUGACUGGCGUGCUGGAGUGUGGCAGAGGGAGGUGGAAUUCCACGUGUAGCAGUGAAAUGCGUAGAGAUGUGGAGGAACACCGAUGGCGAAGGCAGCCUCCUGGCCGCACUGACGCUCAUGCACGAAAGCGUGGGGAGCAAACAGGAUUAGAUACCCUUGUAGUC
RNAcentral lists this ribosomal RNA (431 nucleotides) under uncultured bacterium. RNAcentral describes it as "partial 16S ribosomal RNA". It matches the Rfam family "Bacterial small subunit ribosomal RNA", at positions 338 to 795 of the family's 1533-position model. The record is from RNAcentral.